RNAcentral lists this transfer RNA (86 nucleotides) under Coniochaeta pulveracea. It matches the Rfam family "tRNA". Rfam says of the family: Transfer RNA (tRNA) molecules are approximately 80 nucleotides in length. Their secondary structure includes four short double-helical elements and three loops (D, anti-codon, and T loops). Further hydrogen bonds mediate the characteristic L-shaped molecular structure. tRNAs have two regions of fundamental functional importance: the anti-codon, which is responsible for specific mRNA codon recognition, and the 3' end, to which the tRNAs corresponding amino acid is attached (by aminoacyl-tRNA synthetases). tRNAs cope with the degeneracy of the genetic code in two manners: having more than one tRNA (with a specific anti-codon) for a particular amino acid; and 'wobble' base-pairing, i.e. permitting non-standard base-pairing at the 3rd anti-codon position. The record is from Rfam by way of RNAcentral. Lineage: Eukaryota; Fungi; Ascomycota; Sordariomycetes; Coniochaetales; Coniochaetaceae.
CCCCUUGUGGUGUAGUUGGCUAUCACGUUCGGCUGUAAAUGUCAUUUGUUACCGAAAGGUCACCGGCUCGAUUCCGGUCGAGGGGA